RNAcentral lists this unclassified non-coding RNA (1030 nucleotides) under Limulus polyphemus (Atlantic horseshoe crab). RNAcentral describes it as "uncharacterized LOC111087986, transcript variant X6". The record is from RNAcentral. Lineage: Eukaryota; Metazoa; Arthropoda; Merostomata; Xiphosura; Limulidae.
UCACGAAUAAGAAAAUAAUGCAAGUUAAAGACAAACAUUGCCAGUAAAUUAAGUGAAACGACCAUUGUUUAUAGAUAAACAGAGAUGAGAUUCUUAUCAUUAAUCUCUCAUUAUUUCAGAUUUCCGCAUAAAAACACUAGAGGGAGCAUCGAGACAGGAUAUCUAUCAUCGUGUGAACACUCUAAAGGAAUUAUUCUUUCAUAGUUAUUUUACAUAUCAAUGUAACGACUGAGAGUAACGGGGCGAUCUGAGAGUCACUGGAAUAUCCCUACUCCGCGGGAAUGCCUUCACGAGAGUUUUGGAGCGGUUCGGUGCGUCUGCCGCACCUCACUGUGAUUAAUAACAUUAUCUGAUAGAGAUCGACCGGUGAGGGUGGGGGGGGGGGUAGAUUUACAUAUCAGCAAUUGACCAGAUCUCUUACAUAAAGGACGAGAAGGAGAAGCCGGUAGUUCCUCGUGCCACGUAAUCCUCGUGUUAUAGUACGCGCCUUCGGUUUCUCGAUGAAGCACGAGGGGGAACUACACUCUUAACCAAUCACCUGCUCUGUUAGCCAAAAGUGUCGGACUUGCGUUCUGGAAGGUUGUUUUGUCUGUGGGGAUCUUUCUGGACUUCUUGAAUUUGGUGACAGAUAGUUUGUAGGACCUUAUCAUGAUGUUCUUUAUGAUUCUGGACUUCUUGGUGCAGGCUUUAAGUCGAAUUUUCUUCCGGUUUAGUGUAUCUUGCUCGAAUCUGGUUCUCCACGUACUUCAUUGCUUCACUACUUGAGAAAAUGAAGUCUGUCUAUUCAGAAGCAAUCCUUGGAAUCUUAAUUAUUAGUACUUUGGAGCUAAUGGCAGUUCAUUUGGAUCCUUAUCCGUAUUUGUCCCACAUGAAAAGAGGCACGUUGCAAGAUAAAAUUAAAAGCAAAUUAGAUAAGUUCUUCAAUAGACUGUUGGCUCCAGAAUCAAGCACAAGAUUCACAGUGCCUGAAAGUCUCAAAGAUGAGAAACAUGGAAUUAAAAUGGGAAUAGCCAGUUCUCUUUGUGAUGAU